ACGGGGCGCAGCAGGCGCGAAACCUCCGCAAUGUGAGAAAUCGCGACGGGGGGAUCCCAAGCGCCAUUCUUAACGGGAUGGCUUUUCUUAAGUGUAAAAAGCUUUUGGAAUAAGAGCUGGGCAAGACCGGUGCCAGCCGCCGCGGUAACACCGGCAGCUCUAGUGGUAGCUGUUUUUAUUGGGCCUAAAGCGUUCGUAGCCGGUUUGAUAAGUCACUGGUGAAAUCCUGUAGCUUAACUGUGGGAAUUGCUGGUGAUACUGUUGAACUUGAGGUCGGGAGAGGUUAGCGGUACUCCCAGGGUAGAGGUGAAAUUCUGUAAUCCUGGGAGGACCACCUGUGGCGAAGGCGGCUAACUGGAACGAACCUGACGGUGAGGGACGAAAGCUAGGGGCGCGAACCGGAUUAGAUACCCGGGUAGUCCUAGCCGUAAACGAUGCGGACUUGGUGUUGGGAUGGCUUUGAGCCGCUCCGGUGCCGAAGGGAAGCUGUUAAGUCCGCCGCCUGGGAAGUACGGUCGCAAGACUGAAACUUAA
RNAcentral lists this ribosomal RNA (534 nucleotides) under uncultured archaeon. Its description in RNAcentral is "bacterial SSU rRNA". It matches the Rfam family "Archaeal small subunit ribosomal RNA", at positions 325 to 859 of the family's 1478-position model. The record is from RNAcentral.